UUUCUGAAUUUAUUUGUAGCGCCCGUGUCCUGUUUUGGGGGGUGUCGAUCCACACCACUGAUGGGUGUCGCUCGACACCAGCAUGUUUUGAUUUGAUCGGUUCGUUUUUAAUUGCAAAAAUCGUGUGGUUAUUGGGUUGGUUAACCCUAGGUCGUGUUUAAAAGAGGGAAGGUCGUGUGCUGUCUCUUCCCAGCCGCUUUUUAACACUUCCAGAGAUAAAGGAAAAGGUUCUAGAGCUUCUGAGGGUUUUUGUGAGUCUUUUGGUGGUGUUUGGUGGGUGAUCUUGGUGGUUUAAGGCUAGUAGAGGUUAGAUCCGUGUUGUGUGGUGUUAGAGGAGGCAGAUCCUUCCUUGUUCUUCCCUGUUUUCGUUGCUGUUCUUCUUGUUUAAAGAGGUAAAAGCAAAGUGUGACCCGUGGAAUCAUGGCUAGGAGAGGAGGAUGAUCUAGGCGCUCAUUGGUGUUUAGAUUAUUGUAGGGUUGUUAGGAUAUUAGAUUGGAAUUUAGAAGCAUGUUAGGAUGAUUAUGUUUCUGGAAUAAUGAUAGUUGACCUUGUUGGUUUAAUGGAUUUGUUUGGUUGGAUUUUUAUUUAAUUUUUCCGCAGGUUACGUUGAUUGGUUGUGUUA
Molecule: long non-coding RNA, 622 nt
Organism: Capsella rubella
Lineage: Eukaryota; Viridiplantae; Streptophyta; Magnoliopsida; Brassicales; Brassicaceae
Exons: 2
Source: RefSeq, a predicted model, not a curated record